Molecule: non-coding RNA, 72 nt
Organism: Saxophila tyrrhenica
Lineage: Eukaryota; Fungi; Ascomycota; Dothideomycetes; Mycosphaerellales; Extremaceae
Source: the annotation of a RefSeq genome assembly
GGUCUUGUAGUGUAGCGGUUAUCACUCUGGAUUUUGAUUCCAGUAACCCCAGUUCGAAUCUGGGCAAGACCU